Molecule: long non-coding RNA, 6213 nt
Filed under: Sus scrofa (pig)
Lineage: Eukaryota; Metazoa; Chordata; Mammalia; Artiodactyla; Suidae
Description: lncRNA (ENSSSCG00025040782.1)
Source: RNAcentral
AUAUAGUCAAGGUCUGAUUCAUGUUUCUCUAAAAACGCAAUGACUCAGUGAGGCAGUCAUCAUCACUAUAAAUGGAGGGAAGAAUACAGAGAACUAAGGGGCAAGAUGGGCUUGGGAGAAUAUACUUUGAAGUUCUCAAUCUUAACAGACUGAAAAUCAUCUAUCAUCCCUAAUUUAGGCUCUUUAGCUUGUAGUAGCCUACCCUAAGUUCUUGGACUCCAGGUUGCUUAUGGGAUGCAGUGCUAUCUUAGAUAAAAACCACGAGCCCAUUUCCUCAUCUAUAAAAUGGGACUGAGACUACAUACCUCAUAGAACUUCAUGAAAAUUUAACAUGUGUAGCACAGUGCCUAGUUCAGGUAAGGAGCCAGGUAUAGCUGACAUUAUAGAGUGUUUAUUUCCUAUCAGGAUGAUCUGGUCGAUGUUUUUAGGAGUAGGUCUCAGACUCAGGCUCUUUUCUGGGGUGUAUGUGGUACAUUAUGGAUGAACCAUCCAUCCCUGAGGACCAGCUGCACACACCUGCGCCACAUGAUGGCCAGCCUGGAGACUGGCUGGGCAUGCAGAGCAGCUAACUGCCCCUGUGGGUGUUAAACUCAGGCAAUGCUCUUGUGGCCUUGACUUCAUCACAGUCACCUUCUAAUCUCUCGACUAGCAGGCUGUUUUAGGAAAGAUCAAAGCUUUCGAAGGACUCACUGAAUCUACCGGGAGACAGCAGCUGGGAGCAUGGUGUAAACCCUAGGCAAGAUAAUUUCCCCAGGGGGAACAUCCCCUGUAGGACAGGAGGCUGGUCAGCCAGGAGGAGAAACAGUGCAUGUUCUGGGGGUUUGGAAGCAACACUCUGGUCUCAGGACCUGCAGCGCUGGUGUCACCCAGGCAUUUUUGCAAAUGUAGAAACUCAGACUCCAUCCUUGUUCUACAGAAACAGCAUCUUUAAAAAGUCAGGUGGGGGGGUGUUCAUCUGCACCCACACUAAAUUGGGGGCCAUUGAUCUAGACCAGUGUUUCUAACUUGGCUGCAUGUUUGAAUUGCCAGAGAACUUUCCCAAAAUAUCAGAUGUCCAAGUCCACUCGGCCCCAAGAAAGCAGAAUAUCUGGGAUUAGGACCUGGACAUCUGUGAUGAUUGCAGCUCCUUACUUGAUUCUGGAGUCCCAGAAUGUGACGCCCCCUUCUCUAAAAUAUAACCUUGAGGAUAGUGUGCCUGCCUCCAAGGCUGAGCACGUGCUGGACAGAAGCAGCAGGCCACCUGUGAGAAGGUGUGUAUCAUGCAUAGUGAUGGAAAUACAGGGCACCAGCAGGGAAAGGCAGGGGCCAAUGAAGCCAUGUAGAUUUGAAAUGAAUCCCAGUACCACCAACUAGUAGCUGGAUGGCCUCAGGGAAAUUAUUUGACCUCGAUGGCUUUGGGUUUUCUCACAGGUAAAGUGAAGAUAAGAAUAUCAAGCUUAGAGGCUGCACCCACAGCAUAUGGAAGUUCCCAGGCUAGGGGUCAAACUGGAAAUGCAGCUACCGGCCUACACCACAGCCACAGCAAUGCCAAAUCCAAGCCACAUCUGUGACCUACACCACAGCUCACGGCAAUGCUGGAUCCUUAACCCACUGAGUGAGGCCAGGGAUUGAACCUGUGUCCUCAUGGGUGCUAGUCAGAUUUGUUUCCACCUAGCCAUGAUGGGGAUUCCAAUAACAAUAUUUUUUAUAAUUCUGGAUGAAAAGGUAGGCACAUGACCAAACUUCUGGACUUUAAUGAUAUUCUGCGGAAAGUGUGGAUGUUUCAAACAGCUCUAACAAGCAUCCCACACCCAGGAUUCCAUUUACGAGCAUGUGGAAGGAGGAAAGGCCCAAAACGGUGGGUGAGAUGAAAGCCAACAUAUAAAAAUGAGCCAAUGAUUUUAAAAGACUCUGUAUAAUCUAGUCUCCUACUGCUUAAUGUAUAUAUUACAUAGUGGAUAGUUAAUUUCACCUAAGAGAACUCUAUGAGAAGAGAGCUUAUUCUAUGCCCACAUAUUCCCAGGUGUGCCAGGAGAGGGAAAGUGGGCACAGUUCAUGAAACUAAUUAUCUGAGGGAAAUUGCACUGAGUCCAGUGUUAUGACAGAAGUACUCACGUAAUAAAGACCAAUGAAGAGAAUGUUCCUUGUGCUCUUAUAAACUAAAACUAGCCAAUGGUCCCUGAAGGGAAAAAUACACAGCCACACCAUUGAAUGUAUACCUGCACUGAAGCCACUAAUGUGUUUUAAAAUAGGAAACUGUACUGAAACGCUGCUCUGCAUCUUCCAAUUUCUCGAGCACACAGGUGGUUUCCAAUUCUGUGCAAGCGGUUAGGGCUGAAAGAGGGAGGUAAGCCCAGUUCUUGCCUUCAAAAUGUUUAUGCUUUAACAGAGAAAUCAGGUAAGUCAAAGCAAUUUCAAAAGCAGAGUACUAUUUAAAAGAGUUAAGAAGUCCUUGCUCACCAGGGUUCUGGCAUCACAGUAUGAAAAUCAGUUCUAGGUAGGUCAUGAUGUUUCCCAGCUGUACCUUUUAUUUUUAUUUAUACAUUUAUUUAUUUAUUUUGCCUUUUAGGGCUGCAGCCAUGGCAUAUGGAGCUUCCCAGGCUAGGAGUCAAAUUGGAGCCACAGCUGCCAGCCUACAUCAUAGCCACAGCAUCUCGAGAACCAAGCUGCGUCUUCCACCUACACCAUAGCUCAUGGCACAGCCAGAUCUUUAACCCACUGAGUGAGGCCAGGGAUUGAACCGGCAAACUCAUGGUUCCUAGUCAGAUUCUUUUCCACUGCACCACUAUGGGAACUCCCCAGCUGUACCUUUUAAAUGAUGGAUCCAGAGAAGGCAAGGUGUUCCUAGGGAGGGGACAGGAUAGCCACAAGGUUAGGGGGUUAUUUGAGUAGCUUGAGUAUUUUACAUUUGGCAAGGAAAUAUUUGGAUAUUUCCACUGGUCCAGUUAUCUCGGGGCUUCCUGGUGUUGAAUAAAGGUCAAGUGCAGAUGCUGGGACCAGCCUGCAGGAAAAGCCUCUCUUCCUUUCUCAAGCAAAGCCUCCUAGCAAAAAUUAAUACAGAGUACAUUUCCUAUUGUCUUCUGAACUUAUUUCAGUUGGCAGCUGAAAAAGUUACAUCUGAUAUGCUUGACUAGAGCCUGCAUUUCCUCUGGCUUACAAGCACCCAGAACGCACAGAAGCCACACCUGGGUGUCAAAGGCACACCUGCCAGGAUCUUUGCCACCUGGCACUCAUGUGGGUGCCCCAGCAGAUCCCAAGGACAGAUUGCUCACCCCUGUGCUCCCAAGUUGGGGAAAACUGCAGCCUGUUUUACUGAACCCCUCAACAAUCUAAGACCCUCACGCUCCAUCCUGGUAGGGCUCAACAUCCUUCCUUCCUUCCUUUCUUGAUUUUAAAAUUUGAAUUGACUUGCUGCUGAUGGCUUUUAAGGGAGAAAACAGACUUGAACAAUCUUCCAUGCUUUGGAAUCUAACAGAGACAUAAAAUAUCUAUUUUUGGAGCCUAUAAAUUCUCGUUAUUAUUGUUUUUUUCUUACUUUAGAGGAAUCCACAGUAAUUGAUUCACAUUAUUUCACAUCUACUCAUGGGCAGAAAUGGUGCCCUCCUCUCAGAAGAAGUUUAAAACUUCGUUUUCCUUUUUGAAAACAUUACUCUAUCAGAGCACUACUCUGUCGUCUCAAGUCCACUUGCACAUGCUAAAAAGGCCUGGCUGCUUGUCAGACAUAUUCAGGGGACACGCUAUCUGGCAAACAUUAGGAUGAGCAAACUGGUGUCAGCUGAACCCCACCUCCCAAACAACGCCAGGCUAAUCUAAGACUCUGGUGGGUCUGACAUCAUUGAAGGGGGAAAAAAAAAAAAUUCCUCCUACCCUAGCCAAGCAAAUUCUGGGCAGGAAGCAGAGAAGACAGCUUAAGCUCUAGGAACAUCCUGAGAGUAGUUUUUCAUGGUGAACAGAAAACAGGUUGGUGGGAAGGAGCUCUGGACAGCUAAUCAGAGGCCUAGGUUCCAGCCCUAGCUCGCAAACAUCUGCCUUGGAAAGAAAUGUAAGAUCCUCUAAGAUUCUGUUUAUUCAUCUGUCAGAAAAAAGAAGAAUGGUAAUGUGACAGUGUCCAUCUUAAUAGAAGCUGCACUGACUCUAGAGAAUCGCUUUUUAAGUCUGUGUCUCAGGCCCUCUAUUUAUUACCUGUGUCACUUUAGAAAACUGUUCUUUCAGAGCUUCAGCUUUCUCACCUGUGAAAUUGGAAAACAUUAUUUUUGCAAGGUUAUAAAUUUCCUUUGAUCAAUACUGGUGUGUGCGCCAGUUCUGGGCUAGGCAUCCUUGUGUGAUCUGUGGAAACUUCUACCAAUGCCAAGAACAAAACACAACAAAACAAUAAUAAUGAUGCUUGUCCUGAAAAAGCUUAUGAUCUGGUAGGAGACACCUUUCAACUACAUACGGGAAUAAAUAGAAAAUUUUAACUGCGAUAAAUUGAGAAGAGGUGCUUGAUGCUAUGAGUAUUAUAUGUGUAUAUAUGUAUAUAAUAUACAUAAAUAUAUAUACACUUGUCAACUUAAAAAAAUGCACAAGAUGAGAGUUGUGACUUAAGUUUUAUUUGGGGCAAAAUAAGGACUAAAGCCUGGGAGGCAUCAUUUUAGAUAGUUCUAAGAAACAGCUUCAAAGGGGGAGGGUGAGGAGUUCCCGUCGUGGCACAGUGGUUGACGAAUCCGACUAGGAACCAUGAGGUUGCAGGUUCGAUCCCUGGCCUUGCUCAGUAGGUUAAGGAUCCGGCAUUGCCUUGAGCUGUGGUGUGGGUUGCAGAUGCGGCUCAGAUCUGGCGUGGCUGUGGCUGUGGCUGUGGGUAGGCUGGUGGCUACAACUCCGAUUAGACCCCUAGACUGGGAACCUCCAUAUGCCUUGGGAAGUGGCCAUAGAAAAGGCAAAAAGACAAAAACAAAAACAAAAAAACAAAGCGGGAGGGUGAAGUCAUUAUACAUGUGAUUUUGAUGAAUGGGGAGGUACAUGCAAUCAGACACACAUUUUAUUUUAUUUUAUUUGCUUUUUAUGGCCACACCUGUGGCAUAUGGAGGUUCCUAGGCUAGGGAUCCAAUUGGAACUGCAGCUGCCAGCCUAAGCCACAGCCACAGCCACAUCAGAUCUGAGCCACGUCCAUGACCUAUACCAUAGCUCAUGGCAACGCCAAAUCUUUAACCCACUGAGUAAGGCCAGGGAUCGAACCCACAACCUCAUGGCUCCUAGUUGGAUUUGUUAACCACUGAGCCAUGAUGGGAGCUCCCAGACACACAUUUUAAAAGAAGGUCACUGCUAGUCACGAGGAGCAGACAUCACCAUGAAGGAUUUUAGUGAUUUUCCAGGUACGAAAAGAUGCAAGAAUUGGGCUCAUAAAAUCUUCCCCUGAAAAUAUCUAUCUGAAGAUCUGUUCUGCCAGUUUUCCCAGAGCACUGAAUGCCUCACUCCUAAUCUCCACUCUGAGCUCCUUUCAGGGGGUUCUGAGGGUCAGCAGCUACAGUGGCUCAUGAGCCAGUCCAUGUAGAGGCAGAUGGCAAGUGCCAGUCUCCAGUUGGCUUACUGGAAAGAUUUGGACCAGUCAGAAUGCAUGCGUGACAUAAGCUAUUCAUCACAGCCAAUUCCAAUGAUGAAUGAAGGGAGAAAAAGUCUGAGAUGAGGUUAAAAUCUCAUGGCUAUAGCUUACUGAGUUCAUUCUGAGAAUGAACUACUAUUCUCGUUUUAGAAGUAAACAGACCGAGGCUUAUAGCAGCUAAAUGUUAGACCCAAAUUACUCAGCCAGUUUGCUUUUGAAAAGCUGGAUUCAAACUCAAGUGUAUCUGAUUUCAAAGCCUGUUGUUUGGCCACCAGUAAUAUAUUCAGCCCUUACUAAGUGCCUAUACUUGCUAGAAUCCCUCCUUAUGUCUUCCAUCUAAGCUUUGAAACCUUUCUCUCUGGAAAGCCUGAAAACCAUGUUGCUUUGAGUCUUUGCAUCUCAAACUUGGUGGACAGUUGAUCCACCCUCAUAAGAGAGGAAAGAAUAAGGAUAUUUAAAAAAAAUUAUUGGCGUAGCGUUGACUUACAAUGUUAUGUUAGUUCCAUGUGUAGAGCAAAGUGAAUCUGUUACAUAUAUACAUAUAGCCAUUCUUUUUUCCCAUAUAGGUUGUCAUAGAAUAUUGAGUAGAGUUUCCUGUACUAUACAGUAGGUCUUUGUUUAUCUCUUUUAUGUACAGUAGUGUAUAUCUGUUAAUC